CAGCACAUUAAAAAAGGAGUGUAAUUCUACAUGGCAUGAUAAUCAAAAGACCUGAAUAAACAACAAGUCUUCUAGGUGGAUUACACCCAACUUCGGUCACCAAAAUUCAACUUAAGCCAAAUUUUGUAAAAAACUAAAUCCCGGUGUGAACGUAAUCCUCCCACGUGAGAGAGUGUGUUGAAGAAGACUUACAAAAAUCAGCCACUCAGUCUUCCCUUUUCCACCACGGCACUGGCUACUUCCUUCUAUAAAUUGUGCAGAAGGAGUACUUCCCAAAUGCACCAUACUCCCUCUCUCUAAUCUCUCUCUUUCUCUCUCAUAAAUUAUUAACUAGUGCACAUUGAAUUAAGAUGAUGAAGUUGUCAUAUUCAGGCGUGGCCCUGUGUGUGGUGGUGAUGGUGGCAGUGAUGGUAAGUGAAGAGGCAAGGAUGGCAGAGGCAGUGACAUGCAGCCCAGUGCAGUUGAGCUCAUGCUUGGGCCCAAUAAAUUCAGGGUCACCUCCUUCAACCACAUGCUGCCAGAAACUGAGGGAGCAGAGGCCUUGCCUUUGUGGAUAUCUCAAGAACCCAAGCCUCAGGCAAUAUGUCAACAGCCCCAACGCCAGAAAACUUGCUUCCAACUGUGGUGUUCCCGUCCCUCAAUGUUAAAUCAUUUUCCAAUAUCAGUCACUUUCUUCUGAAUCCUGUUCAUCAUGAAGAAGAAGUUUUAUAAUAUAUAUAAUAUAUAAUUAUAUGCAAUAAGAAUGAUGACUUAGUUGAUGUCUUUCUUCAAGACCAGCAAUCAUUGUACCAUGAGAAUACUGGGGUUUUAAAUGAAUAAAAUAAGUUUGCAUUUA
Molecule: long non-coding RNA, 835 nt
Filed under: Prunus dulcis (almond)
Lineage: Eukaryota; Viridiplantae; Streptophyta; Magnoliopsida; Rosales; Rosaceae
Description: sRNA ncRNA
Source: RNAcentral